ACCCGAAGCUAAAUUAGGGCUUUUUGUGAUUUCUUCUUUCCAAGCUUAAAUCAAGGUAAUAUCCAUCAUAAUCUAGCCUCUAUUCCUUCGAUCUAUACAUCUUUCUUAUCAAAUUUGAGUUUUUGAUUUCCAUUUUGAAUUUUUGGUGCAUGAAUCCGGUUUCUCCUUAAACCAUGAAGCUAGGCUAUGGGUUUGGCAAGGAUUUUUGGUGAAGAAGGCCAAGGAGAAGGAAUAGGAUGUGAUUUUUGAAGAGGAAAGGGUAAGGAAUGAGUUUUGGACAAACCCUAGAAUUUUUGGAAUUUAUUUGGUUGAUUUUGUUUAUGUUGAGCUAUUGUUGUUGUUGGAAAAAUUGUGAAAUUAGAGAUUUGAGGAUGGUUAAAUUAGUAGGAUUUUAGUAGCAU
Long non-coding RNA from Rosa chinensis, 401 nucleotides. RefSeq lists it as uncharacterized. The transcript is spliced from 2 exons. The record is from RefSeq and is a predicted model, not a curated record. Lineage: Eukaryota; Viridiplantae; Streptophyta; Magnoliopsida; Rosales; Rosaceae.